RNAcentral lists this transfer RNA (75 nucleotides) under Saccharomyces cerevisiae (brewer's yeast). RNAcentral's name for it is "tRNA-Arg". It matches the Rfam family "tRNA". Rfam says of the family: Transfer RNA (tRNA) molecules are approximately 80 nucleotides in length. Their secondary structure includes four short double-helical elements and three loops (D, anti-codon, and T loops). Further hydrogen bonds mediate the characteristic L-shaped molecular structure. tRNAs have two regions of fundamental functional importance: the anti-codon, which is responsible for specific mRNA codon recognition, and the 3' end, to which the tRNAs corresponding amino acid is attached (by aminoacyl-tRNA synthetases). tRNAs cope with the degeneracy of the genetic code in two manners: having more than one tRNA (with a specific anti-codon) for a particular amino acid; and 'wobble' base-pairing, i.e. permitting non-standard base-pairing at the 3rd anti-codon position. The record is from RNAcentral. Lineage: Eukaryota; Fungi; Ascomycota; Saccharomycetes; Saccharomycetales; Saccharomycetaceae.
GCUUGCGUGGCGUAAUGGCAACGCGUCUGACUUCUAAUCAGAAGAUUAUGGGUUCGACCCCCAUCGUGAGUCCCA